Molecule: long non-coding RNA, 2263 nt
Organism: Zingiber officinale
Lineage: Eukaryota; Viridiplantae; Streptophyta; Magnoliopsida; Zingiberales; Zingiberaceae
Exons: 8
Source: RefSeq, a predicted model, not a curated record
AUUUCGCCGGCUGUCGGGAGGGAACCAAGGGCAUCGGCGUUGGAUCAGGCCAGCAUCGAUUGUUUGGAGGAGGUGGUUCUUUCUGGGAAGCAGAGACUGGUAUUUUGGUCCCGGCCACCACAGCUCUGUUGGAUGAUCGUCUCCGGUGAUUGAAGGGUGCAGAGAGGAUGCGAUGUGCUUAUUUUAGAUACUGGAUUGGGAAGUGCAGAGAAUCAAGCAAGGGUCAAGGAGUUGCUUCAUGUGGAGGAAUCAAAACUAGAGGAGGAUGAGGGAAAUACCACUCCAGCAGUGAGAUGGGUUCGAGAUGAUAAAUAUGAUUGCAUCCGAUUAAAGCAUUGCAAGGUUGUGACAAAAAUUGAUUGGCAUCGGAAAGGAGACUAUUUCACUACUGUCAUUCCUAGUGAUAUCCUAAUUAUGAAUUUUAGUUGUACUUAUUUUUAUUCAUUCCUAGUGCCUAUUUUAUAUCUCAGUUUUGUUUCUUUCUUUUUUCUAAUACACACUGACAAAUUGGAAAUAUAUAAAAAUCAUGACAUUAUACCUAGUUACCUAGCCUUUGAGGCUGGAAUCAGGAUGAAACCUAAAGUGCCCUGAAAAGUUUAGGCAUACCAAAUUCUCUCAGUUUAAUGACAGAGGUGUUUUAGAUUGUAAAUUUCAUCCGAGGCAGCCAUGGCUAUUCACAGUUGGAGCAGAUUCUGUCAUUAAACUGUAUUGCCACUAAUGAUAGAUUCUCCAGGAAACUUUGAAGAAUCUCCUCGAGUCAAGAUACGUGAGUACUUGCUGAUCCUACAUGAAUACGGUAGCAAGUUCAUGUUCUUUGCUUGAUAAUUUAUUCUUUUUUGACCAAUUCAUUUCCGCAAACCCCUUACCUGUAAGCACCAACUAGUAUCCUUAUUGUCAAGAAUUAAUUUUAUCAACGACUUAUAAGUUUGGUAUGCAUAUUUCUUAUGAUGUUGAACCUUGACUUUGAGACACAUGAUGGCUUUGUUUUAUUUUUUUUGUUGAAUUUUCUAUCCUGUAAGUUUCAACUCCACUAGUAUCAUGUUUCCAUAGAUGAUGCUGUCUUAGAUGUUGGAGUCGUGACUCAUUCUUUAUACUGAUGUUUCUGUGUGGAAUUUUCCCAGUUGUCCUGUUCAUUGUUUGAUGUUUCUGUGUGUGUUGUAGCUGAAUUUGGUUGUAGCUUCUGCAAGCUUUCUUCACUUUCUUCCCUCCACUAUCUGUUAACAAGUUUGAUCUUUACAAUUCAGUUAUAAGAACAAACAAUAUGACCAAAGGUUGACAGCUUUGCUUCAUCCUUUUUACAUUUCAGUAUGUGGAUGAAAGCAAAUAUGUACUGAUGUACCUAAAUGGAUUUACAAAAAUAUCUUUGAAAUGUUUUGUCAUACAGAUAUGGCAUCUAGUAUAAUUUUUUCCAACUUGAUUGUUGCAUUAUCAUAUAAUGAGAUUAGGUGCACAGCUUGCAGUCAGUUUAUUGUUUUUGCUAAAGAUCAUUGCUAGUAGGCCGACAAAAGACAGGUCUAAAAUGAAGCCUAAGAAAACAUGCUUAAGAUGAUAUUUUAAGAUUUUCUAAACAUUGGAUCGUUGCGGAAGGUUGUGAUUGGCACGGCAAGUGUUCUAAAAUGAAGCCAAAGAAAAUGGGGGAGAAAAUAAGGUUCGGCUUGAGGAAUUUAUGCAAUAAAGCAGUUUUAUAUUUGAUUCCUUCUUUAAUUAUAUUGCGUGUGUUCCUAAGCUGCAACCUAUUAAUAAUUUUAGUUUUAUAAUGUUCUUUGCCACUACCUUUCUAUUAUUCAUUCUUUUGCUUUGCAGGUUGUGACAAAAAUUGAUUGGCAUCGGAAAGGAGACUAUUUCACUACUGUCGUUCCUAGUGAUAUCCUAAUUAUGAAUUUUAGUUGUACUUAUUUUUAGUCAUUCCUAGUGCCUAUUUUAUUCCUAGUCACCUUAUUUCAAUGACAAGAACAAGGGUUCUCAUGGCCAAUAUGUGUCUAUUAAUGGGAUUUUCAAUGUCUUGCUUACCACGCUAAUCCUACUUCUGAUUGGAUUUGCAGCUUCAAGAUAUCAAACUCUACACCUUCUAUAUGGAGCUAGAUUUGCAAAAGCCAUAUCCAACUCGAGGAAGUGACUUAUUGACAUGGGAGAGAACUUAUUGGUAACCAAGGACUUUGUGAAGAUAGCAAAUUUUGGCCUUGCUCGUGAAGUUCAUUCGAAGCCACCAUUCACAGAAUAGGUUUCAACACGCUGUUUACAAAUCUCAAGUACUACAGAGUUG